CAAACAGCUGAGACGUCAACGUGCAAGUUUUCAAGCUGUAAAAUCGAAAGAAACUAACGUCUGCAAGCAGCAAAACAUGUCAAAGAAAGCGCCAAGAGCAACUUUGAAGCUCCACAUGAAGAAGAAAUCGGAUGUACGUAUAGGAAAAAACGCGGACUUGAUGGCCCAGCUGAAUCUUCUAGUUUUCCUACAUCGCCUGGCUGAGGAGUCCAGGGUCAAAGCCUUUGAGGAGAAAACAGCAACCAUCAAAGUUCACCAUGUCAGUGCUGUCGCCAAGAAACUGUUAAAGAGCACACGUGGAUAAUGUGGAAGACAGGAGCUCCCAUCACAUCAUUUUGUUUUUUCCAACAACUCUGAUCCUGUGACCAAUAACAAUUAUAAACCAUGGACUCUCUAAGAUUUUUCUUGUCUUGUUUUGUGUGUAUGAUGAAAUUUAUGUCGUCAUGUCUCCUAAAAUGCUGGGCCUUCCUUACAAGCACUAUUUGGAUGUAAUCGAUGUUCAGUUCCUUUCCAUGACUUGAACUUUUGCUUUUUAAUGGUAUUUGGAAAGUAAACCUUGGAUGAUGGACUGUAUCAUGCCCUGAUAUCUAUAGCAUCACAUGUGUCCCACAUCUCUUUAGGUUAUAUUAUUACUUUAUACCUGCUAAUAAACUAUGUGUACCACUUAACUUGGGUAACACAUGGUUGAGUAACCGUGCAGUGUUUCUUUCCUCACUCUUUAAAACAACUAGAAAUUUGGCCGACUGCCACUGACAGCAGAGGGACUAUUAUCUGUGGCUAAUCACCAAAGAAGGUUUUUAGCAGGAAAGUUCACACAGAUGAUUUUUCGUUCUCCUGUGUUGACUAACAGAGCUCUUAGAGCUCUCGUAAGGAGUGAGAUCAUUUUCAUUUACAAUUAUUAAUUUAAUCAUUAAUAUCUAACCUACCCACAAAAAUAAAGUACUUUGGCAAAUCACAUUAAACCAGUCAAGAGCAUGAUCAGGUCAUAUUUCACCGCAAUAUAAAUAUCUUCCAUAAAGAAAAUUAAGCCUGUUAUUUAGUUUGCUCGAAACAGAAUCUCGAGACGUGCUUUUCUACGUUUCCAACAACGUUGAUUGACAGUCCCAAACUCACGGCAUUGGUUGAGUCAAAGUUGCAGUGGUGGUGGUCGGGAUGCUCAAACAAACAGAGCAAUAUUUUUAUAGUGCCACAGAGAGAUCGUGUUUACAGUUUUCAUGGAUCAACCUAUGAAUGCCCAGAGGCCAAAGUUUUCCGCAUACUGGUUCAUCUUGCACACAUUGCACAAUAAAACAAUACAUUUCGUCAUACACACUGUCACGCAUACUGUCUGUAUUCAGCCCAAUUUUCUAUGCAUGUCAUCUGCGCAUAUGUCUUCUGUUAACUGUACUAAAGAGUGUCACAAAGCAGUAAUAGUGCACAUACGUCGAACACAUCCGUAUGGAGUCGCAGUAAAAAAAAAGGAUACUUUGAAAGGCUAAGCACUUGACUGUGCAUAAGACAACAUGCAUAAAAAUAAAGUAUAACCUAGCCUUUUCUUUUAGUUGACACGGUAUAUUAUGCUGGGAUAAGAGAAAGUGUUUCAAUAUUAAAGUUGCACACUCCAGCUUUAGUGUCUACAGUGCUUAUUUCUGUUUAGUAGAAUCAAUCAUUGAACAAUUGUUGCAAAUAAAAUGGAAAAACGAAUAUACAUUUAUGAAUUUACAUCUUUUAACUGCUCUGUCAGAUGAGGUUAGUCAGAGUUUUAUUCUUUCAAUCAACAAUUACAUGCUCAUGACGGUAUGAUUCAUUGUCAGCAAACAAUACUACAUUCAAGAAGGAUUUUCAUGUUUCAAACACCCGGUUUCAUCCAAAUGGACCCUACACUUGAAAAUCAGUUCUAUUUCUGCAUAAGAACCGUGCUUCUUACAUUGUUGGGGUAGGACCAAGGGGCUUGACCUCAUGACCACAGACAAGUAAAUGUUUGGGUGUCACUUAGCUUGUAUAUUUACGAGUGCAUCCCACUGAUGAUCACAUUACCUGGGAGUCACCCUACUCUUAUCCAACUGUCAGAAUUAAUUGA
Molecule: RNA transcript, 2059 nt
Organism: Xyrauchen texanus (razorback sucker)
Lineage: Eukaryota; Metazoa; Chordata; Actinopteri; Cypriniformes; Catostomidae
Gene: cenpw
Gene name: centromere protein W
Exons: 4
Source: RefSeq, a predicted model, not a curated record